CCCACUUCCUGGGGAAGAUUUGGUAAAAAUCCUCACCAAUUUGCAUAGGUGACCAUAGACCCAAACCCUUGGAUCUUAGAAGAAUGAGAAAGCAUUCAUUUUUCUUAUGAGAAGACUUUAAGAGAAG
This is a long non-coding RNA of Chelonia mydas (Green sea turtle), 127 nucleotides long. RefSeq lists it as uncharacterized. Lineage: Eukaryota; Metazoa; Chordata; Testudines; Cheloniidae. The transcript is spliced from 2 exons. The record is from RefSeq and is a predicted model, not a curated record.